GACGAACGCUGGCGGCGUGCUUAACACAUGCAAGUCGAGCGGUAAGGCCCUUUCGGGGGUACGACGAGCGGCGAACGGGUGAGUAACACGUGGGUGACCUGCCCUCAGCUCUGGGAUAAGCCUGGGAAACUGGGUCUAAUACUGGAUAUGACUCCACGGUGCAUGUCGUGGGGUGGAAAGCCUUGUGCGGCUGAGGAUGGGCCCGCGGCCUAUCAGCUUUGUUGGUGGGGUGANGGCCUACCAAGGCGACGACGGGUAGCCGGCCUGAGAGGGCGACCGGCCACACUGGGACUGAGACACGGCCCAGACCCCUACGGGA
This 319-nucleotide ribosomal RNA is filed under the name uncultured bacterium. RNAcentral describes it as "bacterial SSU rRNA". It matches the Rfam family "Bacterial small subunit ribosomal RNA", at positions 28 to 346 of the family's 1533-position model. The record is from RNAcentral.